RNAcentral lists this ribosomal RNA (1439 nucleotides) under uncultured bacterium. RNAcentral's name for it is "bacterial SSU rRNA". It matches the Rfam family "Bacterial small subunit ribosomal RNA". The record is from RNAcentral.
AGGGUUUGAUCAUGGCUCAGAACGUACGCUGGCGGCACGCCUAACACAUGCAAGUCGAACGAAGUAGCAAUACUUAGUGGCAGACGGGUGAGUAACAUGUAGGUAUCUGCCCUUUGGCCUGGAAUAACACGAGGAAACUUGUGCUAAUACUGGAUAAGUCUUUACAGAGAAAGCUUUAUGCACCAUUGGAUGAGCCUGCACUUGAUUAGUUUGUUGGUAGGGUAAUGGCCUACCAAGACUGUGAUCAAUAGCUGAUUUGAGAGGAUGAUCAGCCACAUUGGGACUGAGACACGGCCCAAACUCCUACGGGAGGCAGCAGUGGGGAAUCUUGCACAAUGGAGGAAACUCUGAUGCAGCGAUGCCGCGUGAGUGAAGAAGGCCUUUGGGUUGUAAAGCUCUUUCGUCGGGGAAGAAAAUGACUGUACCCGAAUAAGAAGGUCCGGCUAACUUCGUGCCAGCAGCCGCGGUAAUACGAAGGGACCUAGCGUAGUUCGGAAUUACUGGGCUUAAAGAGUUCGUAGGUGGUUGAAAAAGUUGGUGGUGAAAUCCCAGAGCUUAACUCUGGAACUGCCAUCAAAACUUUUCAGCUAGAGUAUGAUAGAGGAAAGCAGAAUUUCUAGUGUAGAGGUGAAAUUCGUAGAUAUUAGAAAGAAUACCAAUUGCGAAGGCAGCUUUCUGGAUCAUUACUGACACUGAGGAACGAAAGCAUGGGUAGCGAAGAGGAUUAGAUACCCUCGUAGUCCAUGCCGUAAACGAUGUGUGUUAGACGUUGGAAAUUUAUUUUCAGUGUCGCAGCGAAAGCGAUAAACACACCGCCUGGGGAGUACGACCGCAAGGUUAAAACUCAAAUGAAUUGACGGGGACCCGCACAAGUAGUGGAGCAUGUGGUUUAAUUCGAAGAUACGCGCAGAACCUUACCAACACUUGACAUGUUCGUCGCGACUUUAAGAGAUUAGAGUUUUCGGUUCGGCCGGACGAAACACAGGUGCUGCAUGGCUGUCGUCAGCUCGUGUCGUGAGAUGUUGGGUUAAGUCCCGCAACGAGCGCAACCCUCACUUUUAGUUGCCAUCAUUAAGUUGGGCACUCUGAAAGAACUGCCAGUGAUAAGCUGGAGGAAGGUGGGGAUGACGUCAAGUCCUCAUGGCCCUUACGUGUUGGGCUACACACGUGCUACAAUGGUAUCUACAACAGGAAGCAAAACUGCGAUGUUAAGCAAAUCCUUAAAAGAUACCUCAGUUCGGAUUGCACUCUGCAACUCGAGUGCAUGAAGCUGGAAUUACUAGUAAUCGUGGAUCAGCGUGCCACGGUGAAUGCGUUCCCGGGUCUUGUACACACCGCCCGUCACACCAUGGGAGUUGGUUCUACCUUAAGGCAAGGUUUAAUACCCUUGACCACGGUAUAGUCAGCGACUGGGGUGAAGUCAUAACAAGGUAGCCGUA